Molecule: long non-coding RNA, 200 nt
Filed under: Physcomitrium patens
Lineage: Eukaryota; Viridiplantae; Streptophyta; Bryopsida; Funariales; Funariaceae
Description: long non-coding RNA (PPAT_LNC008776)
Source: RNAcentral
AAUUUGGUAUUAUCUAGAUAGUUGGGUGUGCUAAGUGUAUACAAAAAAAUGUGUUAAUCUAACGAUGCAAUCAAGAGAUAUCUGGGUUUUAGUACAAAGGGUUGUCGAAAGUUGACAAUCUAGGGUUGGAUAGAAUUUAUGUGAUAUCUGAAGAUCUACUAGUUAGAUCGACGUAAAUUUUGGCUUGAUUAUAGAAGAUU